UGAGGAAUAUUGGUCAAUGGACGAGAGUCUGAACCAGCCAAGUAGCGUGCAGGAUGACGGCCCUAUGGGUUGUAAACUGCUUUUGUUUGGGAAUAAUCGACAUUACGUGUAAUGUUUUGCAUGUACCAUUCGAAUAAGGACCGGCUAAUUCCGUGCCAGCAGCCGCGGUAAUACGGAAGGUCCAGGCGUUAUCCGGAUUUAUUGGGUUUAAAGGGAGUGUAGGCGGUUGGUUAAGCGUGUUGUGAAAUGUAGAUGCUCAACAUCUGACUUGCAGCGCGAACUGGCUGACUUGAGUGCGCACAACGUAGGCGGAAUUCAUGGUGUAGCGGUGAAAUGCUUAGAUAUCAUGACGAACUCCGAUUGCGAAGGCAGCUUACGGGAGCGCAACUGACGCUAAAGCUCGAAGGUGCGGGUAUCGAACAGG
This 424-nucleotide ribosomal RNA is filed under the name Verrucomicrobiota bacterium. Its description in RNAcentral is "Verrucomicrobia bacterium partial 16S ribosomal RNA". It matches the Rfam family "Bacterial small subunit ribosomal RNA", at positions 355 to 776 of the family's 1533-position model. The record is from RNAcentral. Lineage: Bacteria; Pseudomonadati; Verrucomicrobiota.